This 402-nucleotide ribosomal RNA is filed under the name Triticum aestivum (bread wheat). Its description in RNAcentral is "partial small subunit ribosomal RNA". Lineage: Eukaryota; Viridiplantae; Streptophyta; Magnoliopsida; Poales; Poaceae. The record is from RNAcentral.
AUGGGCCUGCAGAAGCAGAAUUCGUGGUCGCCCGACAUCGAGUUGGACGAGGCGUGGGAGCGGCGGCGGCGCGGGAUACUGGGCAGGAGCCGCCGCUCGCCGCUGCAGCACGCGCAGAGCGUCACCGACGACCAGCUCGACAAGCUACGCGGCUCCUUCGAUCUGGGCUUCCGCUUCAACCCGCCCUCGCAGCGCUGCGCCGCCUGCGACGCCGGUAGGAGCCGCCUCGUCGAGACGCUCCCGGCGCUCGACCUUCUCUACGCCAUCGCCGCCAACACCAACGCCGGCGCAGCCAGCCAGUGCUCCUGCAGCACCUCCUCGGAGGCCUCCGAGCUGUCGCCGAUCGGGAGCCCCCUCUCCAUACUCUCCCCUUCCGUGCAGAUGACCCGCCGGAGACGGUGA